CAGUCGCCGCGGGAAUACGAAGGGGGCUAGCGUUGUUCGGAUUUACUGGGCGUAAAGGGCGCGUAGGCGGACUGAUAAGUCAGGGGUGAAAUCCCAAGGCUCAACCUUGGAACUGCCUUUGAUACUGUUUGUCUUGAGUUCGAGAGAGGUAAGUGGAACUGCGAGUGUAGAGGUGAAAUUCGUAGAUAUUCGGAAGAACACCAGUGGCGAAGGCGGCUCACUGGACCGUUGUUGACGCUGAGGUGCGAAAGCGUGGGGAGCAAACAGGAUUAGAUACCCCCGUAGUCCCUGUCUCUUAUAC
Molecule: ribosomal RNA, 301 nt
Filed under: uncultured bacterium
Lineage: Bacteria
Description: partial 16S ribosomal RNA
Rfam family: Bacterial small subunit ribosomal RNA
Source: RNAcentral